GGGGAUGCGUGGUAUCGACAGGGCAGGCGAACGAUCCGCUGCGAGCCGAGGAACGCCGUUCUCCCUCGUUAAUCCGAACGGCAGCCAGAUAACUGGCACAAACUCUUACGCUCUCGCUGCCUAGCCAGUGAGACGUCCUCCCGGUCUCCCCUCCGCGGGCCGGGAAGGACGACAAAAGCGGAGGUGCUGUCCGCCGAGCGUCCGGUAGGCGGGCUCAAGACCACGGACUGGCGAGGACCGAAAGCGCGUCGGUGCGCGGUCGGUCCCGCGAGACAAAGGAACGCCGACGACGCUCGUGGGUGCGGAUCGCUCAAGUGCUUUGGACGGGGAGUUCGACCCUCCCCCAUCUCCACAG
RNAcentral lists this transfer-messenger RNA (355 nucleotides) under Chloroflexota (GNS bacteria). RNAcentral's name for it is "JACQAT01 sp016194865 Standard tmRNA". It matches the Rfam family "transfer-messenger RNA". Rfam says of the family: Bacterial tmRNA, also known as 10Sa RNA or SsrA, is named for its dual tRNA and mRNA-like properties. Its role is to liberate the mRNA from a stalled ribosome. Lineage: Bacteria; Bacillati. RNAcentral also lists the same sequence under 1 other name. The record is from RNAcentral.